Clupea harengus (Atlantic herring) is the source of this 7151-nucleotide long non-coding RNA. The record is from Ensembl. Lineage: Eukaryota; Metazoa; Chordata; Actinopteri; Clupeiformes; Clupeidae.
UAGAGGUGUUGCUUUCUAUUUAUAUAUUUCUUAUUGCUGCUGCAGGCAACUCUGAAUUGCAGCUCUCCUGACUCCUGACUGCUACUGCAGGGAAAAAGCAGAGACGGUUCAGGUGAUUCAGUAGCGCAAUUAUGAAUCACACAACCCCCCCACAUCCAUCCCAACCGAUCCGCAACCCUUGUGGAACUGUGCAACUUGUGUAAAUAUCUUUAGUCAGCCUAGUUAGCAGUUGCAUAUAUGUUAGUCAGCUGUACCGCAGCUAAGAUAAGGCUCCAAGGCAUGUCAGAGAAGAGGAGAGGGAGGAGAAGCGUUAUCUUCUGCACACAGUGUGCACAUAUCUGCCUGUUUUCAUUAUGCACGGUGCUGGCUUUCCUGCCACCUUUUGAUUUAUUUAAGGCACCGAAACAUAUCAUCACUGAUACAGUCUUCACCGUGGGGGAAAAGUCACUUCUUGCCAAUCCUGGUUUGAUCCAUGAAUAUGCCACCCCGUGUGUAAUAAAAUGCUUUACUUGCAGGCAUUGGUUUAAGCAGUAAGUGUGUACCACCAGCCUUUGUGUGCUCUGGUGCGAGCCCUCCCUGAUGAAGUGUCCGGCCACACUUGGCCAGCGCCGGUGAGGUGCUCCAGUCAGUCCCAUCUGCUGGCUACGGCCACUUAAUCAACAGCUCUUUUAUUAGCAGUCGGAGCUGUGAUUCCCAAAUCCACCCCCGCGAGCCUCGGUGCCCCCCUGGGGGUUAGCCACAGCCGCUGCCACUCUCCCUGAUUUAAUGCUUUGGUUUUGGGCACUGCCCUUAGCUGGCAUGAAGCAGCAGAACCAGCCUCUGCAUUUCAGAUCAGCGCCUAGCAGGUGUCCAGCAUGGGCAUUAACAGACACCGUAAACAAAAUCUGUAACGGACGCCGUUCACGCCAAAUAAAUAAGUAGGUGUAUUUAUUGCAUUGGACUUCACACAUUCUUUCCUCUUACACACACACACACACACACACAUCCAGUGGCACCUGCUGCACCCACUCACUGUACACCAUCUGUGCGCAAGGGCCCCCACUGAAAACCAGAACUCUCCCAGGAAACGACUCCCACCCACAGUCAUCAAAAUGCUCAUUAAAAUGUGGAACUUGGUGUGCUACCAUUUUGUGCUGUGAAGUAAGACUUCAUGCUAUUCAAGCAUUCCCCACCCAAACCCCUUGAAGAGACUGCCUGCCCUUUUCGUUACCAUGACGAGGCUUGUUUUAAAUGUAUACAUUCUUUCCAGCAUGCUAUCAUUGGCUGUCAGCAGUAGGCAGGCACAUGAAGCCCUUGCGCUGCACUGUUGAGGACCUGGUGGAAUUUCAACCAUUAUGUCAGCCUGGACAUAAAGGGUGCUUGUUAGACAGAUAUGCGUGAAGUGUCCGCUUACCACUUCGACGCACAUGCUGUGGUGCUGUGUGUCAUAUGAAGCAGUCAUGCAAGCGUCUGUUUUGUCCAGCACUUCCUCUGGAGGAGCCGCAGGUCUCAUUUUUUCUCUUUGUCUCCUGGAGGAAGGCUGCAGUUGUCCUCGGGAUUAGUGCUACUAUUCAUAACCAAUUAGCAGGAUCACGUAGCAGCGAGAGACACAACCGCCCCUGUAAGACACAGGCACAAUGUUGUUGAUUCAAUCAGGAUGCCAUUUGGGACGGUUGCCGGUGCCCGCCGCUGCCCGCGAGAGGAGUCAUUACGCCUUGGGCACGGGCCUUUUUCUCCUCUCCUUGAUGGGCUGUCAGUGCUGCCCGCCUGCCAAGGGCCAUUUGCUAUCUGGAAACGCUAGCCCUGCCCGUAAAGUGAGAGUGAAGCCAACCCUAUCCUGCUCAGGGGCUGAAGAGCAUUCAGUGUCUCACAUGCAGGGAAAGCUUGUUUGGAGUAAAGAAACAUGUGACCCGUAAACUGAAAAGAAAGUGACAUAUACGUGCUGAUGACAAACAAAAGUGACAUACAUGCUGAUGACGGAAAGCGAAAUAAACAAAAGCUGACAAUACACCAUUAAGGCACGUGACAGUGACAGAAAUGUAACAUUUCUGAAAAUGCCACAUUGAAGGAAACAUCAUGACCUGCAUAUUGUAUUACUGCACCCAGUCAGCAGCAAAACAUGUACUGACACCCGGACCAGCAAAACUGCAGUGAACAUCCUUGGUAAAAAUGAGAAUGCAUUAAACAUUCAAAAUCAAAAUGGAUACAUAUUUCACACAGGUAUUUAUAGGCUGGCCCUUAUCAUACAGACUAAGCUUGCACACAUUGAAUUCCCCCGAGUGAGUGUCGAGCGUAAAACUCAACCCAGAGAGAGGAGAAUGUGGGAUGCGUAGGGUGAGGAGUGAUUCUCUGUCAGCAGGGCAGAAGAGGCUCAGUGGUGAAGGAGUCGGUAGAAUCAUUUAAAGGGCAGAGCUGAUCCACCCUCCCCACAGCGCAGACCUGUCAGAACCGGGGCCUGCUGUUAAGCCCUCCAUCAGGAGGUGCUCCAAGUCUGACCCCCUCGUUCAACUGUCAGCCACCCUUCCUGCGUGAUGCAUGAUGGGGUUUUAAAACGGAAUGCCAUUAUCUGGGGCAUUUAAAAGCCAGCGGGCUCCCACUCAGUUAACUUGUCAUUUGACAGAGCUGUCACAAAGCCGUUACCUGAUGUUUUCACACACCGAUGCUCAUGAAUCACAUAGCUGGGCAAGAAGACUGCAACGACUGUGUAAGAAAAUGUGCUGGUAAAUGUAAAAGUUUGGGCAUAUUUUGGGCAUAUUUUGGAGUUUUAGUCUAUUAUAGUCCUUAUAUGCACAGACCUCGUAUCCCUCAGUGAGGGACCUUGAGAAGGGGUGGAACCGUAUUGGCUAAUGGCACGAAUGCUCAACUCCUCAGAGGCACCUAAUAUAGGAGAGCUUAGCGGCUAAUCAUGUGCUAAUGCUAGCCAAUUUCCCGUGUGUUGUUUCCCGUCGAGAUGGGUCUACCUUGCGUGAGUGGCGCCUGGCCUCCCAUCAGGCAGCAGGACCAGCAAGCUGUAGAGGUUAUGCAAUCCUGAUUGACCAGAGCCUCUGGUUCAGAUAUUAGACAAUUAGAUAGUUACAGCAUGUCAGUCAAUGGCGCUCAGUGUUAGUGUGCUGUUUAGUUCCCUACAGAGGUGCUUCAGUCUUUGUGUGGCGCUGUGUUUUGGGGCGGAUAGAUUUGAUCCUUUUAAAGGUUAGAACAGAAACUUAAUCAGCCGCAGGGCACCGCGUGCUACGACUGUGAUGAAACAGCAAAUGAAAAACAAAAAGCACCGGAAUGGGAAAGAGACAGACAGGGAGCGAUCCGCUCAGUGGGUUUGCCUCAGGACCUGGUCGGUUCAGACCAGUAGUGUUUGCUCUCCACAGUAAACCCAAUGAACCCUGAGGUCACUCACAUUUGUAUUCCUUGGUGGACUACUCAUAGCACAUGAGCUCUGUCCGGCUUGGGAAUGAUUUUUCAGGGGGUUCUGCACUCUCCCGGCUCUCCGUGACGCAGACGCUUAUCUAAUUGGGCAAUCCACCAUGCCUUGAAUUCCUCUGAGCUGAGCCUGGUUUCUUUGUAUUAUUUAAUACGGUCCUCAAAUGUGGUCUUGCAAUUGUUGCUGUGCGAUACCAAAUGCAUUUCUUAUAUUCCUAUAUUGGAAUGCCUAUGACACAGUGGCAAUGAACAUAAGCCUAAUGAUGUAUGAAAUCAUGUGUAUGGCUGCCGAAUUGCUAUUCAAAGAAGUACAGGCCUGCAAGCUACUUGAUAUGACACAGUUUGGGAUUAGUGUUGUAUUCCUCGAAUGUUGCCUUGCCUACUGUGACUGUAAUUGCAGUAGGGUUUUCCAUCCCUGCUGAAGACUGGGCAGAUCACAGUACCAGACUGAUGAGCUAAUAUGCAACAGCUGCCAGCUUUGCCCGUGAGUACUGAUGUUCGGAGACACACGAAGACCCCUUCCAUUCUCCACGUGUUUCACUCUCCUCCUCAAUUUCUCUCCUUUCCUCCCCUGCAUCCCUGCCUCUCUCUUUUCUCCCCCUAUUAUGCUAGUCACAUUCGAGUCCAGUGAAAUGAAACAGUCUGAAAAAUAGUGUCAUCAAAGCGCAGUCGGAAUCAAUACAAUCACAAGAACCAUUAAGUGCAUCCCCUGGCGAUAUCCCCCGAUAUGUGACGAUACCAUCUGCCUCUGAGACAGUCUCAAUACGGAUCCUGUUGGAUUUGGAAGACUUCGCCAGUAGAAUAGUGAGUUCCUUGUUCGUAGAUCUAGUGGACCAAUGCCCAGAUGGCGGUUCUCAAGUCUCAAAAGCCUGGACUUAGACUGAGGCACAGAGGGUAUAUUGUAAGAGAGCACAGUCAGGCCCCAUUGGGUUGUUUUAGCCCUUUGACUGAAGAACGCCCCUAGUGGCCGUGAGGGGGACGCGUUUCCUCCAUGCUGUCCUGUCUUGGUCCUUCUUGACCUUCUCACGGUGAAGAACCGGAGGCCUUAUCUGGGGAAAAAACCUUUCAACAAAGCAAACAAUUGACUUCAGGACCAUUACGAAGCCAUUACCAGUGUAAUGAACAUCUCAAUGAUGGCGACAUGUUUGGUUUCCCCGGAAAGAAGGAUCAGGAAGUGAUUUCAUCAGCUACAAUAGAGGCCGUUAGCCUGUGGCAUAACCUUGCAGAGACAGGGUUUCCCUUUGGAGGAUAUUGAUUAGCAGUUCCUCGCCAAGCUCUCGCAGCAGAACAUCCUUCUAAUGUUGUAUGUGUGUAUAUAGGGCCAAUGAUUUUCCGUUUAAAAAAAAUGCAUUUUCCGUUUCACAUUAGGUGAAUUCCGGUUUUUUUUUCCGUUUCAGCUCAUUUUGUUCACCCUGAGGUAGAUUGAUGGCUUAAAAUGAGUGAAUAAUAUGUGCCCUUCUUAGAUUGUUGUUUGCCAGCCAUCAACAGAACAGAAGACUAAACAUGUUUUGUUUUAAAUGCGAUUGGGAAGACGAGCGCGUGAAUGUGACUGAAUGUGGCUUUAGCGGAGAUCUGUGGGUCAACCGUUGAAAAGGGGGGCGUGGCCGGAGCAGAGUUCAGCGCAGACGUGACAUUUUCUCAGUGGUUUUGUUCUUUAAUUAAUGUUUGUUCAUCGUUGCAAUCGUUGUUGUGUUUAUUUGAUCGAAAUAUAGCCUUGCAGCUCAAAAUACAGGGGUAUUUGGGCGAUUUGUAUGAACAAAAUGAUGUUUCCGUUUCAAAGGUGCGAUUCCGUUUCAAAGUGUUCAUUCCGCGAAUUCCGUCCGUUUUCCGUUAUCGCGGAAAAUCAUUGGCCCUAUGUGUAUGUGCAUUAGGGUACGCUCCCUACGGUUCAACACGAACAUGUGAACCGCUGUAUUGCGAUAUGUCUAUCAUUCUCCUUUAAUUUCCAAAACGUAGGUUAUUCCUUGGCCCCUGCUACAUCUUUCCACCAAAUUUUCAUGGAUAUCAAGGCAGUAGUUUUUGUGUAAUCCUGCUUACAGACAGGCAACCUAACAACAAAACUGCACCAAAAACACAACAUAACAAAAGCAGUGGGAGUAGGCCUAUUUAUAGCCAAAGAUUUACAGCCCUGUUUUUGUGAUUACUGACACAGGACUGUGUCACCAGAUGGAAAAAAAUAAAUAAAAAACACAUUACAAUGUCCCCUCCCACACACAUUUCAGCAGCAAAGCUCUAUGAAACAUCACAGAAGGAAAUUAAAGACUUAUUGACGCAGGCUCCCUAUCUAGUAUUCUCCACUGAUAGUUGGACCUCCAGAACACGUAAAAGUUACCUCACUGUAGUAGACAGAAACCAAGGCCUAGACAGUCAAGUUGCCAUUUUUCUGAAUAGAAAGUUUUGCUUGUCUAUAGGCAAAAUAAACAGUUCAUUAUUUAAAGGGUAUAAAUAUAUCGAAACCGUACUGUUACAUUGGCCCAAAAACUGUGAUACAUAUUGAACUGGGAGCCCAUUGCAUUACCGUUGCAACCGUUGCACCAACAUGCACAUAUCAGGUAUGGAGGGGUGAAGGGGAGCAAGUGUGUGUGUCUGCAGGUGUGUGUGUCUGCGAGUGUGUGUGUCUGCGAGUGUGUGUGUCUGCAGGUGUGUGUGUCUGUGAGUGUGCAAGUAUGUAGUGGUGAACAAGAAUGAUGCAGGGCCCAAGAAAGAAACAGCCCAAUUCCUUUAGCUGUUUGGGCUGCUUCUCAUUGCAAACUAUUUAAAUAGUUUAGAAGUACCGACAUGCUAAUGUAAACAGCUGCGUUGUUUGCUCUGCAGUGUGUGGGUGGAUAUAUUAGUGUGUUUAUGUUUGCAUGUUAAGCUGUUUUUAAUUAGCUGCACCGCUCAAUGGUAUUUCAGAAAAAGUAAACAGUUUGACCGCAGUGUGCCUUGAAUAAACUUCUGGCUGUCCCUCAAUCUCUCUCUCUCUCUCUCUCUCCCUCUCUCCCUCUCUCCCUCUCUCUUGCUCUCUCUCUCUCUCUUUUUCCCCUCCACCCACCCCUCUCUCUUUUUCUCUGUCCCAGCCUGAUUGGCCCCUGUUGUGUGUCCCGUUGAAAAUUACAUUUGUGUCAGAGGCAAUUACACAUGUUUCAAGGCACGAUGCUGGAGGGGUAGCCACAGGGGGCGCCCAGGCCAGACCCCAAACAUCUGCAUGCCUGACGAUAGCUAGACCAUUUCUCUUCACCACAGACAGCUGUUGCUGAGGCAACGACCCCACAGCUGUGCGUUAAAAGGGAAAUGUAUGGAACCAAACUCGUGUCUGAAUCUCAUAAACAUUCUCAUGUCUCGCCCUGUUGGGAAAAAAUGAUGAUUACUGCUGUUUUGAUUGAUACUGAAGUGUUUGAUACCAGCUGUAGAAGCACGUGGAAUGCUUGGAAGAUAAGUCCAAAAUUGUCGCACAUUGUUCUCCUUGCGUGUCCUCCCCUCUUCCCCGAAGCUUUGAUGCCUCAGCGUAGAGCGGCCCGUAGGGGGAAUAUUCAUCCAUUUCAAAUAGACGCCCACGGAGUCAAAUAUGUAUCAUAAGCACACUUCAAAAUUCUCUGCGCGAGGUCGGUUGCGCAAGCAGAUGAGAACGCCUGAGCGCUGGGAACGGGGCACAGCGGAGGGGCUCAUGUGGAGAGACUGAGGAAGCCGCUCCGGUGGAAAUGAAACAGGCUCAGGAGACGAACAGCGUCACCCUCGAAAAGUACAACGAACCUUUUUUUUUUUUUUUUUGUCCUUUU